CGGUAACCUCCAUCCGGAGCAAGACCAAAUAGGCAGACGAUGACGCUGCUCGCCGAGUCUGCGGGUAGGUUGCUUGAGUGCAGGGGUAACCCUGCACCUAGAGGAAUGACUGUCCAAGACAGAACCCGGCUUACCGGUCAGCUUCGCUU
RNAcentral lists this RNase P RNA (149 nucleotides) under Nitrosomonas nitrosa. Its description in RNAcentral is "partial RNase P RNA component class A". It matches the Rfam family "Bacterial RNase P class A", at positions 204 to 367 of the family's 367-position model. From Rfam's summary of the family: Ribonuclease P (RNase P) is a ubiquitous endoribonuclease, found in archaea, bacteria and eukarya as well as chloroplasts and mitochondria. Its best characterised activity is the generation of mature 5'-ends of tRNAs by cleaving the 5'-leader elements of precursor-tRNAs. The record is from RNAcentral. Lineage: Bacteria; Pseudomonadati; Pseudomonadota; Betaproteobacteria; Nitrosomonadales; Nitrosomonadaceae.